UUAUUUUUAUAAAUCAAAUUAUAUAAUCUAUCUUCAUAAUUCAGAUUAUCAUAAUUUAUGGUUUCAAACAGUGCCUUAGACUUUCGCUACUUUAGCUAAGGAUCCCAAUGCAGCACCAUACAAUGUUGAUUUCAGGGACAUAUGUCACCAUAGACCAAACGGCCGCGUUUCAGUAGCACAUCUUUAUAUCUAACUAUUAUACUUGUCGAUUAUAAAUUUUGUUAUAGAUGACAUGACACAUCAUAUAGUUAUCAGCUGGUUAUAUUAUUAACAUGCUCUUAAGAAUCUUUGCCUUCUCUUGACGUAGGACUGGUGGGUUAGCUAGGACCUACAAGGAUAAUGACAUGUCUGGGGACUCAUAGCCUAUGAACAUACUUCCCGGUGCCACUCAUUCUGAACAAUUAAAGAAAAAGCAAAUCUCAGACUCCUCUAUCUAAGACUUUCAUAUGUUCCUACCAAGAGAGGAUUGAGAUUGUGUCUCGCACGACUAAAGAAAGAUAAGGACGUGUACAUAUAUAUUUAUAGAUGCAGAAUAAGAAGGAAGAGUAACAAGAGGUGGAAACACUUGAGAGCCUAGGUGCACGAGGUACUGCUCCGUGAAAAUACUGACACAUGCAAGCCAGCGGCCAAAAUCACUGUUCUGACCUUUUUUUGAGAAGAUGAGCACGAACCCGGUUUGAAAAGAUUUCACGAUCUAAUUCUUUUUAAAACACUACAAGCCGUGGUGUUGCCGCCCCAGUAAGAAACGCCAGUGCAUUGUGGAGUUGCUGACCACCACCAAUACGCCAGUCUUCUAUGGCGUUUUUCCUUCCUUGAAACGCCACCACCUCUGGCGUUUCUGAGCAACACUACAACGCCAAACCCUAUGGUGUUUCUGCCUGCCUAUUUAUUAGGGGUUCACCCUCCAUUCACCACUCACUCUCUUCUUCCACCACUCUCACUCCCUUCUUCCCCGAGCUGCAGCCCCUUUUUCUCCAUUUCUCCCCCACUUCUCCCCUCUCAAAUCCUUUCAAAAGGAUUGGUUUGGUCCGUGGAUCCGGUAUCAUUUGCAUUGCUUGAGGUAAUCCACUAAUGGGGACGGGGCCUUUAGCCCCGGCCCGUAAGGGGCUUUAGUUCCGGUUCACCAACCGGGACUAAAGGCCUAACCUUUAGUCCCGGCCCUGUUACAAGCCGGGACUAAAGAUACUCCACGUGGGCGCCUCGUAGCGCCCCAGGGGCAGGCCCUUUAGUCCCGGCUCGUUACACGGACCGGGACUAAAGAGUUUCAGAUUUUGCUUAUUUUUGGUUUUUUUUGAAUGAAAUUAUUUUUGGGUUUUAGGGUUUUAGGGUUUAGGUGUUCGGGAGAUUAACGUGAUGCCUCGUUUGGUGUUCGGGAA
RNAcentral lists this long non-coding RNA (1376 nucleotides) under Hordeum vulgare. RNAcentral describes it as "long non-coding RNA (HVUL_LNC013952)". Lineage: Eukaryota; Viridiplantae; Streptophyta; Magnoliopsida; Poales; Poaceae. The record is from RNAcentral.